Acyrthosiphon pisum (pea aphid) is the source of this 446-nucleotide long non-coding RNA. RefSeq lists it as uncharacterized. The transcript has 3 exons. The record is from RefSeq and is a predicted model, not a curated record. NCBI's taxonomy places the organism in Eukaryota, Metazoa, Arthropoda, Insecta, Hemiptera, Aphididae.
CCCUCGUUUUGGUGCUGCAACCAAUGCAACUCCACCAAAUGACAAUGAUGCUGCAAUAGUAUGCACCAAAUCGUCACGAGCUUCAUCAAAAAACAGGCAAUCAGCGGCUAGUAUGACAUCGUAAUGACAAAUGUUUGCAGGCUACUAAACGUCUUCAAAAGCAUGCUUAUAAACGAGAAAGAAUUCAGAAUUUUCCACUACAACUAGGUAUUUGAAUAACACAAACAAACAGUAUCACAGAAAUUGUCCUGCAAGAAACAGGAAAAUAAAAUAAUAUUUAUAGCUAGUACUCGGUACCUACUUAAAAUCUUAUUAUUAUCCUGUAAGAUGGGAUUAAAUAUUUCACAGUACCUACCUAGGUACCUACAUUUUGACAUAUGCAAUUAAAAAAAAUUAGGUACUACCUAUACUUUUAGAUACAUAUAAAACUAAUAAAAAUAACAAAA